This 1443-nucleotide long non-coding RNA is filed under the name Cairina moschata (Muscovy duck). RNAcentral describes it as "domestica (muscovy Duck (domestic type)) lncRNA (ENSCMMG00000006735.1)". The record is from RNAcentral. Lineage: Eukaryota; Metazoa; Chordata; Aves; Anseriformes; Anatidae.
AUGAAUGUAGAAGAAGAAAAGGUCUUAUUAUUACAAAAUCUAAGAAGUUGCUUCAAAGCUGUAGUCUGCGUAACUUGGCCCCGAGUAAAUGCCAACUUGGCGACUCCAUCUGCAGCCACUUGCAUAUUCCUACAGGGGCACAAUGCGCAGCUGAUUUCCCAAUUAAGCUCUCUCGACAAAGUAGUUUUAUCAUUCAGGCAGCCUCAAAAGUUUGAGAGAGGAAUACAUAUUCAUGAGGCACCAGCAGCCCUCCGUCUCAGGCGCAGCUUUCAGCUGGGAGCAGCCCGGGGCUCGGUGCGCCGGAGCCAGCAGGGUGCCACCGGCCGGGCCCCCCCGGGGGCUCCAGGGAGCCGCUGCCCCCCGCAGCACCGAGCACCGGGGGCUCGCCGGGGCCGGGCCCACCCGCGAUCGUGUCCCGCGUGGGUGGGCGGCGGGCGGGGUGCCGGGGGAAGGUCUGUCUGUCCCGGGGGGGCGUCUGUCUGUCCUGAGGGGGGGGGUCUGUCUGUCCCGGGGGGGUGUCCGCCUGCCCGGGGGGAGGGUCCCCGGGCGGCCCCGGCCCCGGCAGGGCGAGGGCGGGGAGCGGCCCCGAGCGCCGCCCGGCUGCGGGCGAGGGCGGUGCGGGGGGCGGGCGGCGCGCCCCUGGGCAGAGCCGGCGCCGGGAGCCGGCCCCCCCCGGCCCCCGCCCGCCCCCGCCCGCGGCCGGCGCGGAGCCUCCCGCGGCACCGGGGCUGCGGCCGCGCUCCCCGCGGCGGCGCCACGCAGGGGCCGUCCCGCGGCACCCGGCCGCCCACCCGCCAGCAGCCCCGGCCCCGACACGGGACCGGCCCGGCCAUGGCAGCCGCGGGCGGGACGCCGCGCCCCGGCCGAGAGCGGAGCCGAGCGGGAGGCAGGUGGGGGCGCCGGGGGGCCGCGGGGGGCGGCGGGGGGCGAGGGCGACGGCGGCUGCCCGGGGGCUGCGGGGGGGGAGCGGAGCGGAGCAGAAAGGGGCGGAGGGGCGCGGGCGGAGCGGCGGUGCCCCCGUCCCCGGUGCCCCCCACCCGCGGCACCGCCGCCCGAAGCUGCGCCGCGUCCCGGGGCGGCCGCCGCCGCGCUCUCGGUGCGCGCUCCGCGCCUCCCGUCCCGUCCCGUCCCGUCCCGUCCCGUCCCGUCCCGUCCCGUCCAGCCUCGCCGUGUCGAGCCGAGCCGAGCCCACCCGAUCCGAACCGUGCCGUGCUGAGCCGUGCCGUGGCCGCGGCGGGCAGGGGGCGCCCCCCGGGAGGGGUUUGGAGCCCAGCGCCGAGCCCAGCGCCCAGCCGCACGCGUGGGCUCCCCCGCCGGGAGCGCUCGGAAGGCGGCCCGGCAGCCCGUGCAUCCCGCCAGGCUCCCUUUGCGCUUGUGUCGCUGUCUUUCAGAUGCGCCGCUGGCCCUGUAGAGACUUUGCUGCUUCACCUCAGGCUUAUGUGA